Ictalurus furcatus (blue catfish) is the source of this 574-nucleotide long non-coding RNA. RefSeq lists it as uncharacterized. The record is from RefSeq and is a predicted model, not a curated record. The transcript has 3 exons. Lineage: Eukaryota; Metazoa; Chordata; Actinopteri; Siluriformes; Ictaluridae.
UUAAACCAGGGGUUGCUAUAGAAACCGGUAAACAAACUUAUGAAAAUCAUAGUGUUGGGUACAUGCCUGUUACAUAUGCGCCCUAUCAAGCGGAUAUAAAUGGGGGUUCUACACCAUGUAUAUCUACACGGAUAUUAUAGAAUAUCAAUCAGUUGGAGAUCAUCAUGUUCUACUACUAAGGUGAAAGAACGUUAUCUGCACAUUCAUCUCUCGCUGCUUUGCCUCGUGUGAUAUCGCCACUGAGAGUGAAAAGCAGUCACGGCUCACUGAGUGUUUCACGAUGUGACAUUUCGCCGCUAAGAGCCGCAUGCUUACCAUUAAACUCCGCUGACAUUUACCGAGAGAAGGAGAAAAAGAGAGAAAUGGACGUGUGUCAGGUUUGACAUGUCUAUUAUCACAUUCCUGAGGAGAUGAAUGGAUUUUCUGAGUCAUUUCUCUAAAGUGGACCGCUUCACUUGGCACCAUGCGGAGGCGUGUUGAGGUAUCUGAAGAAUACAUCUUCACACAUCCGUGAAGGAGAUGGAGGGAUGCACCAUCGUGGGAGGGAAUACCGUGUGUGUGUAUGUGUGUGUGU